AGUAAGAGCCACAUGGUCUACCACCCUGUUCUGUAGCCAAAUUCAUUGUCAUACCAGGAAAUGAGCUUGACAAAGUGAUCAUUGCGGGCCAUGCCAGCCCUGGCAUCGAAGGUACGGGAGGGCGUGGUAAAGAUACCCCUGGGCGCCAUGGCACAAUCCACACCGGCAUCACCCAUUUGAUGCUGGCAGAGUCUUACUGCUGGAAGAUGGAGAUAGGCUUUCCAUUGAUGACAAGCUUCGCGUUCUCAGCCUUGACUAUGCCUUUGAACUUGCCAUGAGUAGACUCAUGCCGGAAUGUGUAGGCCAUGUAGUUGAGGUCAAUGAAAGGGUCAUUGAUGGUGACAGUAUCCACUUUGGCAGCCCUGGUGACCAGGCACCAAAUACAGCUAAAUCGGUUCACUCCAACCUUCACCAUCUUUCUCAGGGGUGCAACUGCUUUUACCUGGCUGGGCAGGAAGAUGCAGCCAUCUGUCAUAUGGGAGGAGCAGAGAGCUUUGGGUGAUUUUUAAUAGCGUAGGCCUGUCAUGAGCUUUUCAGUCUGGAGUUUGAUGGAUGAGGACAGUGUUACGACAUUGGCCUCCAGGCCCAGAUCUUACUCUGGGUGUUGUCUCGUGAAAGCAGAAUCCCCAGGACUGCUCUGUUGGCUCAGCCCAUCGGUUUGGGAGAAUAUGGUGGUUCUGGUCCCACCCUGUUUCCUGCCACGGCCCCUUGUUCAGGAGAAAUGUCAACCAGUUUUCUC
Molecule: long non-coding RNA, 739 nt
Organism: Phyllostomus discolor (pale spear-nosed bat)
Lineage: Eukaryota; Metazoa; Chordata; Mammalia; Chiroptera; Phyllostomidae
Exons: 3
Source: RefSeq, a predicted model, not a curated record